This is a long non-coding RNA of Lolium rigidum, 3395 nucleotides long. RefSeq lists it as uncharacterized. NCBI's taxonomy places the organism in Eukaryota, Viridiplantae, Streptophyta, Magnoliopsida, Poales, Poaceae. The record is from RefSeq and is a predicted model, not a curated record. The transcript is spliced from 2 exons.
UAAGAAGCAGGAACACAUGGAACAAAUGUCUGUCUUCUGUAUAUUCCCCCAGACCAUAACACUGGUAACCAGGAAUCACAUACUCGGGCAUAUCGUUUUCAUUGCUUGGUCUGCGCCGCCUCUGGCAGUUGUGUAGCUCUUGUGCCAUUUUGGUGUUUUCUUCUUGCGUUUCCGAACGUGUUUGAGAAAUAAUGAAGGUGUUAAUUUGCCAGCACUUAUUGAUUCAACCAAUUACAUUGCAGCUUGCACGUGUAUGAAUUUAGUAUUCUAUAUGCCAUGGUUUUAUGCAAAUCAGUAUUCCACCCAGUAGCAUUUUACUCAUAGUAUAUGCCAUGCCUGAACUUCAGAUAGUCACCUUUAGACCUGCAUACUUGUGAGCUGUAAUGUAAGACUAAACCUUGUGGACAGCUCCGAAUGUCUAACCAUGCAAUCUACCAAAGAAUUCAACUGUCGAGCUCCAUAUGUGUAUAAUAAGGCACAUACAUAAUUAGAAUGAGAAUACCUGGUUAUCAUAAUAGAAGCAUUUUACUAGUAUUUUUGGUAGUUUGAGGGCAGAGUAAGAGCUUGCAAGCAUAACAAUUCUUUUCACAAAAGGUGUUUCAACUGGGGUAUAUUCAAUGGUUGAUACUAGUUGAAGUUGUCAUUGACUCGAAGAAUCUUCCAUCAACUGGGGUAUAUUCAAUGGUUGAUACUAGUUAAAGCUGUCAUUCACUCCAAGAAUCUUCAAUGUGUUGCCACAAUGUUGCCAUCUUAAGUUUAUCAUUUAUUAGAUAAUCAUGUGAAAGUACAACUGAACUAUAUUGUUUCUUCCGCAUUUUAUAUGCAUCCAACUUGGGUUUUAGAAAAAAACGAGGAGAUAUGAACAUGCAGCUCCGGUGACUGUAGCUCAUGGUGGUGGCAAAGAACAAAACUAAUGUAGUUUCUAGUUCUACCAAGAACAUUGAUUUUAGAAAUGCCGAGGAGAAUAUGUUCUAGAUGAAUGAGGAUUUCAAAACGCCCAGAACUAGGCUCAGCUAACUAAGUAGCAGAGAUGACCGGAAGCAGUGGAAGGUAACAUCUUAAGCAUAUUAUUUUCUGAAUUUGUAUAAUAUGUAUGAGUUCUGAAAGGAGCUACUGAGCUUUGUAUAUACUUAUUUGUACGAAAUAUGGAGAUUUUGAAUAAUACUUUAUACAGACCAAGAACAUUGUUCAGUAUCUCUAACUGGGAAUUUGUACUAGCCUGACCUAAAUAUAUUCAAUUAUUCAGGAAUUUACUUAUGUAAUGAAUUUCUGCAGUACAGUUAGUUGUGCACCUGAAAGGCAUAUGAUGUCAAUAAGCCUAAGAUGUUUUCUAAUUCUCAAAGAGUGACUCAUCAACAAUGGUAUUACUGGUAAAUGGUCGCAGCUGUUCUUGUCCAUGCCAUACUACUUCUGUUAUUGGCAUGGCUCUACUGUGAGAUUAUGGGGCAGCAGUAAGUACUCUGUGAGAUGACCUAGUCAACCACAGAGCAGUGUGACAAACCUCUUGUGCUCAGCCUCCAUUAGCACAGCUUUGUGUUGGUUUAUCAUACUGUGGAUUUGUCAUCCUCACUUGCCAACGGAUUCACUUGCAUUCUGUCAAAGAUGCUUUGUGAGUUCUAGUCCUCGUCGAGCUAUGGCGGGUCUCCGGCUUAACAGAAAAUAAAAAACACCCUGAAGAAGUUGGCAACACUGGUUUAUGCUGUAUAUAAGAUGCAAUUGCUGGCUUAAGAUUAUACCUGUCACAACUUUGGCUCAUAGCUAAUUCCUGCAAUCAGGGGAAGCUUUCUUGCCACCUGGCACGGUGUAGAUGGGGUUUGCAGGUUUCUCUUAACAUCGGCCCUGUCUUGAUGACAAGAUUCUGGUGACAGCUUGCUAAUAUGACGACAAAGAAGCAUUCUGCAUAACCUUCAGAUGAAAAUUGCUCAACUUUGGAACUUCAUAAGCUCUUCUCUAAGUCAUAUGUUGGUCCCGAAUGUUCGUAGUUGACACACAUAUGAAGCUUCAAUUGGUUAAGGAAUUUUGAGGUCUUCAGUUCAGAGUUCAAAUGCAGAGAAUUUUUUGGAUUUUUUAAGUUUGCAGCUUCACAUCAGUAUUCAUUUUAAGGAAGUAUACUCAUUGUACUCUAUAUAAGGCCUCAAAUAUGUUAUUGUGCUAUAGCUUAUUUGACCAAUAUGCUACUGCUGCAUGACAUACUUGAUGCAGACUUAUUUAUCCAGUAUUUAAACUUGAUGCGGACUCACUACUGGGUACUGUAACUUGAUAGAACUAUGGUUGCCAUUUGUGCAACUUGCAAGGUCAAGAAAGUUGCAGGUAUGUCUUUCUCAUGUGAUGUUGUUUGCAGUACAUUCCUUUGCAGUUCAACGAUUGAGAUAAUCUAUAGAUGGUAAUGUUUCAUAGAUACACAACACAGAUGUUUACCUUUUCAUAUUGCCAAGCGGAUGGUUUUGUUGCUUCACACAUGUUAAUUGCUCUCUAUGUUCUCAUUGACAUAGAGCAUAGGUACAGUACCAAAUAGAUACUGUGUGUUUUGAUUAUGUUGCUUCACUGAUAGUAGUUUUACUUGGCUGACACCUUGCUCUGUGUUCAGAUUAAUUCAAUGUAAACACCUUGACACAAUGAUAUAGUAGUUCAAUUGUCACAGUAGUUAAUUUUCGAAUUCAGUGCUGAUAAUUUCAAGAUACUUUACACAAUGAUACAUGUGCACUGAGCUAGUUAAGUGUCUGGUAAUUUCGAUCUUGUAGUGGAUGAUUAAUUUGCUACAUGUACCUUCUUAUUCUUCAGAGAAGAGAAGCAGCACGCCCAAGCAUUGGUGACACUUCGGUGGCGUGGCCACCGGUUUUUGGUCACCGGAGGAGAUACGGUGACGAGAUGGAGCUGUCGGCGAGGCAGUGAGACCACGAGUCGAGACGGUGAGCCGGGGAGAAGGUCUUCCCCUCCCUGCUACCUCUGGCCGCGGCGGCGAGGCAUGCCCAAACUCGUCGACGAGCUCCUUCCUUGGCGGCGGACGGUGAGGGAGCUGCGGAGGCGGGGGAGAACGACGACCGAAGCUCAAGUCAGCCACAAAAGGAUGACUUAUAUACAUGUACUUUGAAGUGUCUUUUGCUGUCAUCUGCAGGUUCGGCAGGGUAGGAGCCGCUGCCCGGCCUCCGUUGCUGACCGGAUAUGCAGGGCCGUUGCUCAGUGUGCACCUGCUGCGCUUGGUUCUGUGAUUCUGUCCCAGGCGGUUAUUCUGUGUUUUAUAUAAUCCUAUUUCAAGUAGUUUGGGCAAUUUCUGGAACUUGUAAUAUCGUUUCCUUUCCACGUCUAUGCCUCCAUUUGUCUUGGUGAAUCCUGUCGAAUUGUAAGGGUAAAACUAAAGCUUGUAAUAUCAUUCCGUGUGCGUUGUCUUGUGUUUA